RNAcentral lists this ribosomal RNA (557 nucleotides) under Humicola sp. PWQ2624. Its description in RNAcentral is "eukaryotic LSU rRNA". The stretch from base 193 to 346 matches the Rfam family "5.8S ribosomal RNA". The record is from RNAcentral. Lineage: Eukaryota; Fungi; Ascomycota; Sordariomycetes; Sordariales; Chaetomiaceae.
GGUGAACCUGCGGAGGGAUCAUUACAGAGUUGCAAAACUCCCUAAACCAUUGUGAACGUUACCUAAACCGUUGCUUCGGCGGGCGGCCCGGGUCCUUCCCGGCGCCCCUCGGCCCUCGCGGGCGCCCGCCGGAGGUAAACCAAACUAUUGCAUUGUAUGGCCUCUCUGAGUCUUCUGUACUGAAUAAGUCAAAACUUUCAACAACGGAUCUCUUGGUUCUGGCAUCGAUGAAGAACGCAGCGAAAUGCGAUAAGUAAUGUGAAUUGCAGAAUUCAGUGAAUCAUCGAAUCUUUGAACGCACAUUGCGCCCGCCAGUAUUCUGGCGGGCAUGCCUGUUCGAGCGUCAUUUCAACCAUCAAGCCCCGGGCUUGUGUUGGGGACCUGCGGCUGCCGCAGGCCCUGAAAUGCAGUGGCGGGCUCGCUGUCACUCCGAGCGUAGUAGUUACAUCUCGCUCUGGGCGUGCUGCGGGUUCCGGCCGUUAAAAGCCUUAUUUACCCAAGGUUGACCUCGGAUCAGGUAGGAAGACCCGCUGAACUUAAGCAUAUCAAUAAGCGGA